This 429-nucleotide ribosomal RNA is filed under the name uncultured cyanobacterium. RNAcentral's name for it is "bacterial SSU rRNA". It matches the Rfam family "Bacterial small subunit ribosomal RNA", at positions 356 to 795 of the family's 1533-position model. Lineage: Bacteria; Bacillati; Cyanobacteriota. The record is from RNAcentral.
GGGGAAUUUUCCGCAAUGGGCGAAAGCCUGACGGAGCAAUACCGCGUGAGGGAUGACGGCCUAUGGGUUGUAAACCUCUUUUUUCAGGGAGGAAUCAAAUGACGUGUACCCUGAAGAAUAAGCAUCGGCUAACUCCGUGCCAGCAGCCGCGGUAAGANCGGAGGAUGCAAGUGUUAUCCGGAAUCACUGGGCGUAAAGCGUCUGUAGGUGGUCCAAUAAGUCAACUGUUAAAUCUUGAGGCUCAACCUCAAAACCGCAGUCGAAACUAUUAGANCUAGAGUAUAGUAGGGGUAAAGGGAAUUUCCAGUGGAGCGGUGAAAUGCGUAGAGAUUGGAAAGUACACCGAUGGCGAAGGCACUUUACUGGGCUAUGACUGACACUCAGAGACGAAAGCUAGGGUAGCAAAUGGGAUUAGAUACCCCAGUAGUC